GUUUUUAUAGUUUAGUAAAAUAUUGGUUUUGUAAACCAAAGUUAGGUAAAUUUAAAUUACUUUAAAAACU
RNAcentral lists this transfer RNA (70 nucleotides) under Sesamia inferens (purple stem borer). RNAcentral describes it as "tRNA-Thr". It matches the Rfam family "tRNA". Rfam says of the family: Transfer RNA (tRNA) molecules are approximately 80 nucleotides in length. Lineage: Eukaryota; Metazoa; Arthropoda; Insecta; Lepidoptera; Noctuidae. The record is from RNAcentral.